GACGAACGCUGGCGGCGUGCCUAAUACAUGCAAGUGGAACGCUUUUUCUUUCACCGGAGCUUGCUCCACCGAAAGAAAAAGAGUGGCGAACGGGUGCGUAACACGUGGGUAACCUGCCCAUCAGAAGGGGAUAACACUUGGAAACAGGUGCUAAUACCGUAUAACACUAUUUUCCGCAUGGAAGAAAGUUGAAAGGCGCUUUUGCGUCACUGAUGGAUGGACGCGCGGUGCAUUAGCUAGUUGGUGAGGUAACGGCUCACCAAGGCAACGAUGCAUAGCCGACCUGAGAGGGUGAUCGGCCACACUGGGACUGAGACACGGCCCAGACUCCUACGGGAGGCAGCAGUAGGGAAUCUUCGGCAAUGGACGAAAGUCUGACCGAGCAACGCCGCGUGAGUGAAGAAGGUUUUCGGAUCGUAAAGCUCUGUUGUUUGAGACGAAUGUGCCUGUUUCGAAUAGGGAUAGGUAAUGACGGUAUUAAACGAGAAAGCCACGGCUAACUACGUGCCAGCAGCCGCCGUAA
This 523-nucleotide ribosomal RNA is filed under the name uncultured bacterium. RNAcentral describes it as "partial 16S ribosomal RNA". It matches the Rfam family "Bacterial small subunit ribosomal RNA", at positions 28 to 523 of the family's 1533-position model. The record is from RNAcentral.